Molecule: long non-coding RNA, 387 nt
Filed under: Gossypium raimondii (Peruvian cotton)
Lineage: Eukaryota; Viridiplantae; Streptophyta; Magnoliopsida; Malvales; Malvaceae
Description: long non-coding RNA (GRAI_LNC005930)
Source: RNAcentral
AAGAAUCUUCAUUUAUCUUUUAUUCGAAAUGUAAUUCGGAUUCAAUGAAAAUAUUGAACAUAUAAUGUGUGCACAUGGAAAUGUCCAAAUCUUUAAAUAUAGGGUCGACAUGGGAGAAAUCUCCUCAGACAUUGAAUUUAUUGAGUGCAUUUUCAGAGGAAAAUCCUGAAACAUGUUACAGGCAAAUAUUAAGAAAAACAAUGCACAAGCAUAAGUACAAAAACAUAGCAUGCAAGAAAUCAAUACUUGAAAGGAUUAAAAUCACUGCUAACCUAAGACAUUGAAUCUAGCACCACUAGGAAACAUCCGAAAUGAUACUUGUCUUUCAAUGUUGAGAUACAUACGUCCAAGUCUGCCAUGUUGCGCCAAACUGGAAUUCAUCAACCU